CCAAGGAGUCUAACAUGUGUGCGAGUCGUAGGGUGCGUACGAAACCCGAAGGCAAAGUGAAAGCACGGGCCAAUUCAUUGGCCGAGGCGGGAUCCGUCCGUUUCCCCUCGCGGGAAUACGGGCGGCGCACCGCCGGCCCGUCUCGACCGCAGCGUCGGUGAGGCGGAGCAAGAGCAGACACGUUGGGACCCGAAAGAUGGUGAACUAUUCCUAGGCAGGACGAAGCCAGAGGAAACUCUGGUGGAGGUCCGUAGCGUUUCUGACGUGCAAAUCGAUCGUCAGACCUGGGUAUAGGGGCGAAAGACUAAUCGAACCAUCUAGUAGCUGGUUCCCUCCGAAGUUUCCCUCAGGAUAGCUGGCUCUCGAGCGAAACACAGUCUCAUCCGGUAAAGCGAAUGAUUAGAGGCCUUGGGGCCGAAACGACCUCAACCUAUUCUCAAACUUUCAAUGGGUGAGAAGUCCGGCUUGCUCGACUGAAGCCCGGACGUCGGAUGCGAGUGCCCAGUGGGCCACUUUUGGUAAGCACAACUGGCGCUGUGGGAUGAACCAAACGCCGGGUUACGGCGCCCAAUGCGACGCUCAUCAGACACCAUGAAAGGUGUUGGUUGCUAUAGACAGCAGGACGGUGGCCAUGGAAGUCGGAAUCCGCUAAGGAGUGUGUAACAACUCACCUGCCGAAGCAACUAGCCCUGAAAAUGGAUGGCGCUCAAGCGUCGAGCCUAUACCCGGCCGCCGGGGCAGAGCCGAUUUCUAAAAGCAGCAGACGCCCCGGCGAGUAGGAGGGUCGCGGCGGCGAGCGGAAAAGGGUCGGGCGCAGGCCCGCCUGGAGCCGCCGCCGGUGCAGAUCUUGGUGGUAGUAGCAAAUACUCGAGUGAGAACCUUGAGGACUGAUGUGGAGAAGGGUUCCAUGUGAACAGCAGUUGAACAUGGGUCAGUCGGCCCUAAGGAAUAGGGAAAUCCCGUUCCGAAUUUUGGGUUACUUUAUGCAAAAAAUAUAUCCCAAACUCAACCGAAAGGGAAUCGGGUUAAUAUUCCCGAACCCGGACACGGAGAUCGGGCCUUCAUAGGUCCAGUGCGGUGACGCAAACGCCCUCGGAGACGUCGGCGGGAGUCCCGGGAAGAGUUGUCUUUUCUUUGUAAGGAACGGAAUCCCUGGAAUCGGUUCGCCCGGAGAUAGGGAUGUGGUUUCCGUAAAGCACCGCGCCUCCUGCGGUGUCCGGACAGCUCUCGUCGGCCCUUGAAAAUCCGAGGAAGGCAGUGCGAUUUUCGUGCCGGGCCGUACCCAUAUCCGCAGCAGGUCUCCAAGGUGAACAGCCUCUAUUCGAUAGAUCA
RNAcentral lists this ribosomal RNA (1332 nucleotides) under Parascutigera nubila. RNAcentral's name for it is "eukaryotic LSU rRNA". It matches the Rfam family "Eukaryotic large subunit ribosomal RNA", at positions 666 to 1897 of the family's 3401-position model. Lineage: Eukaryota; Metazoa; Arthropoda; Chilopoda; Scutigeromorpha; Scutigeridae. The record is from RNAcentral.